This 614-nucleotide ribosomal RNA is filed under the name unidentified archaeon. RNAcentral's name for it is "bacterial SSU rRNA". It matches the Rfam family "Archaeal small subunit ribosomal RNA", at positions 1 to 622 of the family's 1478-position model. The record is from RNAcentral.
UCCGGUUGAUCCUGCCAGAGGUUACUGCUAUCGAGGUUCGACUAAGCCAUGCGAGUCGAAUGUAGCAAUACAUGGCGAACUGCUCAGUAACACGUGGACAACCUGCCCUUAGGUUGGGUAUAAACCCGGGAAACUGGGUAUAAUACCCGAUAGGUCUCGAUUGCUGGAAUGCAUCGAGAUUUAAAGCUCCGGCGCCUAAGGAUGGGUCUGCGGCCUAUCAGGUAGUAGUGGGUGUAGCGUACCUACUAGCCUACGACGGGUACGGGUUGUGAGAGCAAGAGCCCGGAGAUGGAUUCUGAGACACGAAUCCAGGCCCUACGGGGUGCAGCAGGCGCGAAAACUUUACAAUGCUGGCAACAGCGAUAAGGGAACCUCGAGUGCCAGGUUACAAAUCUGGCUGUCGAGAUGCCUAAAAAGCAUUUCAUAGCAAGGGCCGGGCAAGACCGGUGCCAGCCGCCGCGGUAACACCGGCGGCUCGAGUGGUAACCGUUAUUAUUGGGUCUAAAGGGUCUGUAGCCGGCCGGAUAAGUCUCUUGAGAAAUCUGGCAGCUUAACUGUCAGGCUUUCAGGAGAUACUGUCUGGCUCGAGGCCGGGAGAGGUGAGAGGUACUUCA